Juglans regia (Persian walnut) is the source of this 694-nucleotide long non-coding RNA. RefSeq lists it as uncharacterized. Lineage: Eukaryota; Viridiplantae; Streptophyta; Magnoliopsida; Fagales; Juglandaceae. The record is from RefSeq and is a predicted model, not a curated record. The transcript has 3 exons.
ACAAUCUCGUCUGUUAGUUCCUUCUCAUUUCUGUGUCUCUCUUCCCUCUUAGCUUUUAGAUUUUAUCUUCAACCUCCUUCACAAUAUUCUCAUACAUAUCCUGAGCCCUUUCAACCCAAACCCCUUCCUCCACUCUUAUUUCUAAUCACAUCCGAAAUGCAAAAAAAAAAAAAAUCUUCGGCGCAUCUGAAUUAUACCCAGUUGGAGUUGUGGAAUCCGAGCUGAAAAAGCCGCCUCCAGUCUCUUCGGCGCUUGCCUCACCUCGGAGGAUAACAGAAUCACGUAUGGCAUUAACUCAAUCAUCAACUUACUUACUUGUUGGUGUGGUUUGAAAGCACCACUAAAGAUGUCACACACCAACAGAAAUCCCGUAAAGAAAUUUUUUUCCUGCCCGAAUUAUAACAAGAGAGAUGCGAGAUGUGAAUUUUUUGGAUUGGGCCAAUAUACUUAAAUUGAUAUAGGAGAACAUUCAAAGAAGAGAGAAUGCAGUUCCGAAGAAGGAGGAGGACUAUGGAGGAUAGAAAUGCGUGAAUAUUAUUGUAUUUGUAUUGGAUUGUAUCAAUUGUAAUAGUUUCUGCCUGGUUCAGAUAAACUAUAAGGCACAUGUAAAUAGGUGGAUAUUUUUUUUAUUUUUCUUGGAUGAAUAAAUUGUAAUGGCACUAUGGAGGUAAUGAAAAGUCUGCUGUUUUUUGUC